ACGGAAGGCAGCAGUGGGGAAUCUUGCGCAAUGGGCGAAAGCCUGACGCAGCGAUGCCGCGUGCGGGAUGAAGGCCUUCGGGUUGUAAACCGCUUUCAGCAGGGACGAAAUUGACGGUACCUGCAGAAGAAGCCCCGGCCAACUACGUGCCAGCAGCCGCGGUAAUACGUAGGGGGCGAGCGUUGUCCGGAUUUAUUGGGCGUAAAGAGCUCGUAGGCGGUUCGAUAAGUCGGACGUGAAAUCUCCACGCUCAACGUGGAGGGGCCGUUCGAUACUGUCGUGACUCGAGUCCGGUAGGGGAGUGUGGAAUUCCCGGUGUAGCGGUGAAAUGCGCAGAGAUCGGGAGGAACACCCGUAGCGAAGGCGGCACUCUGGGCCGGUACUGACGCUGAGGAGCGAAAGCGUGGGGAGCAAACAGGAUUAGAUACCCUGGUA
RNAcentral lists this ribosomal RNA (435 nucleotides) under uncultured Acidimicrobiales bacterium. RNAcentral describes it as "bacterial SSU rRNA". It matches the Rfam family "Bacterial small subunit ribosomal RNA", at positions 341 to 792 of the family's 1533-position model. Lineage: Bacteria; Bacillati; Actinomycetota; Acidimicrobiia; Acidimicrobiales. The record is from RNAcentral.